Molecule: ribosomal RNA, 253 nt
Filed under: uncultured bacterium
Lineage: Bacteria
Description: partial 16S ribosomal RNA
Rfam family: Bacterial small subunit ribosomal RNA
Source: RNAcentral
UACGUAGGGUGCGAGCGUUGUCCGGAAUUACUGGGCGUAAAGAGCUCGUAGGUGGUUUGUCGCGUUGUUCGUGAAAACUCACAGCUCAACUGUGGGCGUGCGGGCGAUACGGGCAGACUGGAGUACUGCAGGGGAGACUGGAAUUCCUGGUGUAGCGGUGGAAUGCGCAGAUAUCAGGAGGAACACCGGUGGCGAAGGCGGGUCUCUGGACAGUUCCUGACGCUGAGGCACGAAGGUCAGGGGAGCAAACGGG